Non-coding RNA from Chlorocebus sabaeus (green monkey), 5669 nucleotides. NCBI's taxonomy places the organism in Eukaryota, Metazoa, Chordata, Mammalia, Primates, Cercopithecidae. The record is from RefSeq and is a predicted model, not a curated record.
UGUUACUACCCCAAUGUACUACAGUGUUUAGCUCAUAGAGUUUCCCAGGUGGCACAGUUGGCUGGAUUCCCAUAAUUGCCAUCUGUAAAAACAUAGGAAAUACAAAUAAUGGUAGAGAUCGUUUCACUUGAUUACUUGCUCCUGUCCGUGGAUUCAAGAGACUACACUGUCAUAGCACCAAACUGCUUACUUAUCAAAGAUGCUCUCUAGCCUGAAAUUGCUACAAUUGAUCUUUAACCCAUUGAAUACCAACAUUUGGGUCGUGUUUAUCAUAAAUAUUGCCUCACUACAUAAACAUUGCAUUGGCACUUCAAACUAAUUUGGGCCCUUUUACUGCUGAGCCUUAGAUUUGGCUGCCACAGGGCUCCCUCUGGAGGUUGGUAGAGUCCAAGGUCAGUUAAUAUUAAAAUAGCCUUGGCCUUGGGACAAGAUAAACCUGUCUUUUCAUCCAGCGCCCACAAGAAUGGGUCCUGUAUUUGUGAGCUUAGAAGAUGAUUGUCUGUAUCUGAGGUUGGAGGAAAGUUAUUUGAUUAUCCUCCUAUAAGUGAAAUGUGAUCACUGCUAUGUACUGGUAUUUAAUCUUCUGAAGUUUUACAUUUUUCUAUCAUUAUUGAAGUCUUUUAGCUACAGUGAAAAACAAAACAAAAUAAAACCAUAGGUCAGAAAAAUGCCAGAUUUUAUUUUAUGUGUUUGUUUUAGUGACAAGGAAACCCAAAAUAAGGUGGUUUUGGUUCUAUAAUGACCACCCUCCAGGUAGGACCAAAUGAUCCCAGAGUCUGAAUUCCAUCUAGAAGUGUUUGAAGCCCAUAGGCAUUGGAAUCAACGAGUUUGCAGCACAACUUAACUCUUUGAAGCUAUGGAGGCUGGGAAGUGCAAAAUCAAGGCACGAGCAUGAUCAGGUUCUGGUGAAGACCUUCUUCCGGACUGCACGCUGCUAUCUUCUAAUAUUCUCACAUGGCAGAGAAGCUAUGGAGGCUGGGAAGUGCAAAAUCAAGGCACGAGCAUGAUCAGGUUCUGGUGAAGACCUUCUUCCGGACUGCACACUGCUAUCUUCUAAUAUUCUCACAUGGCAGAGAAGGAAGCUUUUUCAGCUUUGUGACUAAGAGACAGCCAGCCUUUCAGCUGGGUGAGCUUUCCAGUUGCAUGAGAAAGAGCUUCAUCAGAAACCACCUACAUUCUUGCCAUUCGAAAAAAUAGAAAAAAAGAAAGAGAAGAAUAUAGAAAGAAUUGCUUCUCCUCUAAAAAAAACAGGUGAGCUAUCACAUUCCAAAAAAGUCGGUGUCUGGUUUGGGAAGCUGAUUCAUGGAGACUGACGUCAACCUGGUUCUAGCCUCUGGGCCAAAAAGAAUCAUGAAAGAAGUGACUUCCUCAAUGACCUGAUGUGAUGUCAGGCUUAAUCUGCCACAAUCAACUGGUGAACAGUCCUUGGAUGGUUUCAUAAUGGUGCAGAAGAGACCUUGUCCACCUCCAGUAGCAGAAAAAAGUGACCAAGCAAACAGCCCGAUGCAUAAUCUUUCAUGGCAUCGUCACUGCUAGGAGACUUCUCUUAAAGUCGCUCAGCUGACUUCAUACCUGAGUUCCUGGAAGAAGCUGGUCAGCAGGGGCGGCUCCGUGACCUUCCAGUGUGCAAGGGCAUUGCUCAGUGCAUCUGGGUAGAUAAUUCUGUGUUUCUGAUUCAUUGGUGCGGUGUCUAGUUGUGUUGCCUGCCUUUCUUCCCCUAGGAAAUUCCUAGUAUGUGCUGGUACCCAGCAGAUUUACUCUGAAACAUUUGUACUGCACAGGGCUUUUUUCUUCUUCAUCGACUUUUGGCUUCUGAUUUCAGAACUUCUGCCCCAACUAACUGGUAAACGCAGCUGGAUACCAUCUGGUUUAUGUGCUUCCCAUCACAGAUGACCUACCUCAGGCAGGCCACUUGAUUUUCCUUUCUUUAAGGUCAGCCAGUAUAUGGAGAGCACAAGUGGGAAGCGUUCAGGGGCUUUCUGAAUCUAAAUUAGCUUUCCUCAAAGGGUGGUAUAUGCUAAGCCCUGGAGACAGUGUUUAAGUGAAAGAUAAGUCACCCUGAUGAUAAAAAAUAUACAGAACAACUGCCAUUUAAUGUGCACUUGUAUAGUCUCUAACGCCCCCAACAGUCUUCUGGGAUGAGGGCCCCAAAGCGUGAGGGGAUGAAAGAACUUGCUCAAGCCCACACAGCUGGAAAGUGGGUUUGAACCCAGUCCUGCCUGACUUCAGAGUUCACAUUCUUGCCUCUGUGCCAAACUGCCUCCCAGGUGUCCUUGACCAAAGAAAUAAUAUGAAUUGGUUGAAAAGAGGGAUUUUGUGUUGCUUCAAAGGGUAGAGGUGGAAUCACAGAGUGAAGCCAAAGGAGGCAGAUUUCAGUUCAACAUUAAGACGAGACUUUUAACCACGGUAGGUGGCUAAAAAAAUGGGAUGAGCUAUUUUGCAAGCCAGUGAGUUCGUGGCCUAGAGGGAUUCGUUCAAACCCAGGCAAGUGCAAAUCUGUGCUACUGCGCAGAGCAUUCCUGCUUCAGCUGGGAGGUUGGACUGCACAGUUUUUCAGGCUCCCCCAACUCUAAGAGUCUAUAGUUCUGUGAUUUUUAGAGGACAUGUCGCAGAAAGGUGACUUCUGUUCCUCAAGCAUGCCAGGUUCAUCCCAGAAGCUGUUGUAGGCCUGCACUUGCUGUGAGGCCUCUGGGCUGGUUCUAUCCUCUGCUGAAUGUUCUCUCCCACACGAUUGCCCCCAGGCUAACUUUACCUCCACAUCUUUUCAAAGAGGCCUACCCUAUUUAGAAUUUACCGUUCACAAAAAGUGCAUCUCUGCUAGUGCUCCCAAUUCCUCUUCCUCUGCUGUAACUUUUUUUUUUUUUUUUGUAGCACUUGUCAUCAUCUUUUAUACUAUGUAAUUUACUUUGUUAAUUCAUUAAUUGUUUAUUGUGUUUCUUCCUCUGCCAGUUCUGUGGGGCCAAGGUUUUUUUGUUUUUUAAAAAAAUUUUGCAUCCUGGUACCUAAAUGGUCCGUGUCAUGUUGUAGACAAUCAAUAAAUAUUUGUUGACUAAACGGUGGAACCACGUGGAGAAGUCUGAGCUCAGGCUCUGCUGACAGCCAGGUAGGCAGCGUUGGGCAAAUCACUUCAUCACUCUGGUCUCAGAUUCCUGUUGGGGUCUGUACAUCUGUAAGAAUAAUUGUGUGAUUUUAAAAUUCAAUUGGGUGGGUUGUUACAUUCCUCUUAAAAAUACACCAAGCAAUUUCAAAUGAACACCGGUACAAAUGUAAGAAGAAAAUAUGCCAAUCAUCACUUUUGAACCACACUUUGGUCUUUUUGCAGCUGAAUGGCUAACCUAAGCCUUUUCACACUCAGGUUCUUUGUUGUUCUGAGAGCCAUUUAUUAUUGGAAACACACCAUUGAAAGAUAAAUCUAGUGACCAAUACACUUCCUCUAUGAACGCGUAUGCUGGGGAUUUUCCACUGCUUGGUUACUGCUUAGGGGAAAAUUUUAGAGCAGCAGGAAAAAACAUUGAUAAUUUGCUCCUAUUACUGGCAUAAGUCAUGAUUGGCGCCUCUAAGCACACUGGGGAUAUAGCAACUAGUCUGAUUGUUUGAUUUUUUGGUUUUUUAAUCCACACACAUUUUGUGAGUUUAACUAUUAUUUUCAGGUGUAGUUAGAUGGCUUCACAAGAAUAUGGAGGAAGCAUGUUAUAUGUGCUAUGUGAAAGUAUAGUUAUUAGAUAAUCAUAGAUAUUAGAUAGCUAGAUAUUUGUCAUAUCUAAUAUAUGUGCAGUCAUACAUCACUUAACAAUGGGACUAUGUUCUGAGAAAUGUGUUAUUAGGUGAUUUUGUCAUUGUGCGAACAUCAUGGAGUGUACUUAACAAAUCUAAAUGGGAUGGCCUUUUGCUCUUAAGCUACAAACCUGUUCAGCAUAUUACUAUACUGAAUACUACAGGCAAUUAUAACACAGUAGUAAGAAUUUGUGCACCUAAACACAUCUAAACAUCAAAAAGCUACAGUGAAAAUACUGUAUAGAAGAUUGUUUAAAAUGCUAGACUGUAUAAGGCACUUACCAUGAAUGGAGUUUGCAGGACUGGAAGUUGCUCUGGGUGAGUCAGUGAGUAUGUGAGGAGUGAAUGUGAAGGCCCAGGACAAUUCUGUACACUACUGUAGACUUCACAUACAUUGUUUUCUUUGACUAAACUGAAUUUAUUUUUUAAGAAUUUUUUUCUUCAAUGAUGAAUUAAUCUUAGCUAAAUGUAACUUUUUAACCCUAUGAAUUUUUUUAACUUUUUGACUCUUUUGUAAUAACACAGCUUAAAACAUGAACACAUUUUACAGCUACACAAAAAUAUUUGCUUUCUUUAUAUCCUCAUUUUAGAAGCUUUUUUCUAUUUUUAUAAAUUUAUUUUUUUCAGUUUUUAAACUUUUUUAAUUAAAAAUGAAGACUCAAAUAUACACAUUAGUCUAGGCCUACACAAGGCCAGGAGCAUCCAUAUCACUGCCUUCCACCUCCACAUCUUGUCCCACUGGAAGGCCUUCAGGGCAAUAACACGCGUGGAGCUGUCAUCUCCUCUGGUAACAAUGCCUUCUUCUGGAAUACCUCCUGAAAGACCCAUCUGAGGCUGUUUUACAGUUAAUUUUUUUUUGUAAGUAAAAAGACUAUAGUCUAAAGUAACAAUAAAAUAUAGUAAAGUAAAUACACAAACCAGUAACAGUCAUAUGUUAUCAUUAUCAAGCAUUAUGUCAUGUAUAUAAUUGUGUGUGCUAGACUUUUAUAGCACUGGUAGCACAGCACAGUAGGUUUGUUAACAAAAGCUUCACCACAAACGUGUAGUUCAUAAUGCUAUGACAUUAGGAUGGUUAUGUCAUCAUUAAGCAAUAAAAAUUUUCUAGCUCCAUUAUAAUCCUAUAGGACCACCAUUGGAUACAUGGUCCGUAUACACCAUUGACGUCUUUUCUGCAGUGCAUGACUACACUGAAUGUAGUAAAACACAUACAUAGAUGAUAAACUAAAGUAGUAUUUUCUUGUAGAAUAAAAGGCUUCAAGAAACUAGAAAAAUAAGGACAAAAUCAUUCCAAAGCAAACAGAAAGACGAAAAUAAAGAGCAGAAAUCAAUGAAAUUUAAAGCAGAAAAACAGUAGAGAAAACCAAUGAAUAAAACGUUGGUGUUUGGAAAAGAUCAAUAAAAUUGAUCUAGCAAGACUGACAAAGAAAAAGAAAAGACACAAUUACCUACAUCAGAAAGAAAAUAAGGAAUAUUACUACAGACCCUACAAACAUCACAAUAAUAGUAAGGGAAUACUGUGAAGAAGUCUACACAGAAAUUUGGCAACUUAGAUGAAGUAGACAAAUUCUUUGAAAAUUACAAAUCACCACACUUCACUCAACAUGAAAGAUAUAAUUUGAAUAGUCCCAUAACUCCUAUUAAGGAAAUUGAAUUCACAAUUUCAAAACCCCCAGAAAAUGAAACUCCAGAAUCAGAUGGUUUUACAAGAGAAUUCUACCAAAUGUUUAAUAAAAAAUGAACAUCAAUCCUACACAAUCUCUUCCAGAAAAUAGAAGAGGGGAACACUUCUCUGAUGUUCCAAACUAGGUAAACUUUAAAAUUGGCUAUUUUUUAAAAAUUAUUAUUUGAGUGUUCAAAAUUUCACCUUUCCUUAGAAAUUGGUGAUAUGUUUUUCU